ACAUGCAGAGAACUUUACCAGAGAUGGAUUGGUGGCCUUCGGGAACUCUGACACAGGUGCUGCAUGGCUGUCGUCAGCUCGUGUCGUGAGAUAUUGGGUUAAGUCCCGUAACGAGCGCAACCCUUGUCCUUAGUUACCAGCACGUUAUGGUGGGCACUCUAAGGAGACUGCCGGUGACAAACCGGAGGAAGGUGGGGAUGACGUCAAGUCAUCAUGGCCCUUACGGCCUGGGCUACACACGUGCUACAAUGGUCGGUACAAAGGGUUGCCAAGCCGCGAGGUGGAGCUAAUCCCAUAAAACCGAUCGUAGUCCGGAUCGCAGUCUGCAACUCGACUGCGUGAAGUCGGAAUCGCUAGUAAUCGUGAAUCAGAAUGUCACGGUGAAUACGUUCCCGGGCCUU
RNAcentral lists this ribosomal RNA (401 nucleotides) under uncultured Pseudomonas sp. Its description in RNAcentral is "bacterial SSU rRNA". It matches the Rfam family "Bacterial small subunit ribosomal RNA", at positions 984 to 1382 of the family's 1533-position model. Lineage: Bacteria; Pseudomonadati; Pseudomonadota; Gammaproteobacteria; Pseudomonadales; Pseudomonadaceae. The record is from RNAcentral.